This 59-nucleotide transfer RNA is filed under the name Pseudoalteromonas sp. SG44-4. RNAcentral's name for it is "tRNA-Asn". Lineage: Bacteria; Pseudomonadati; Pseudomonadota; Gammaproteobacteria; Alteromonadales; Pseudoalteromonadaceae. The record is from RNAcentral.
AGCUCAGUUGGUUAGAGCGACGGACUGUUAAUCCGCAGGUCGCCCGUUCGAGUCGUGGA